CCAGACUCCUACGGGAGGCAGCAGUGGGGAAUAUUGGGCAAUGGGCGCAAGCCUUACCCAGCAAUACCGCGUGAGUGAAGAAGGUCUUCGGAUUGUAAAGCUCUUUGAUCAGGGACGAACAGAUGACGGUACCUGAAGAACAAGCCCCGGCUAACUACGUGCCAGCAGCCGCGGUAAAACGUAGGGGGCGAGCGUUGUCCGGAUUUACUGGGUGUAAAGGGAGCGUAGACGGCAAUACAAGUCGGAAGUGAAAUACCCGGGCUUAACCUGGGAACUGCUUUGGAAACUGUAUGGCUGGAGUGCUGGAGAGGUAAGCGGAAUUCCUAGUGUAGCGGUGAAAUGCGUAGAUAUUAGGAGGAACACCGGUGGCGAAGGCGGCCUGCUGGGCUGCGACUGACGUUGAGGCCCGAAAGCGUGGGGAGCAAACAGGAUUAGAUACCCGCGUAU
RNAcentral lists this ribosomal RNA (447 nucleotides) under uncultured bacterium. Its description in RNAcentral is "bacterial SSU rRNA". It matches the Rfam family "Bacterial small subunit ribosomal RNA", at positions 331 to 793 of the family's 1533-position model. The record is from RNAcentral.